UACGUAGGGGGCUAGCGUUGUUCGGAAUUACUGGGCGUAAAGCGUGCGUAGACGGUUAUUUAAGUCAGGUGUGAAAGCCCCGGGCUCAACCUGGGAAUUGCAUUUGAGACUGAAUAGCUAGGGUGCGGAAGAGGGAAGCGGAAUUUCCGGUGUAGCGGUGAAAUGCGUAGAUAUCGGAAGGAACACCAGUGGCGAAAGCGGCUUCCUGGUCCAGCACCGACGUUCAGGCACGAAAGCGUGGGGAGCAAACAGG
This 253-nucleotide ribosomal RNA is filed under the name uncultured bacterium. Its description in RNAcentral is "partial 16S ribosomal RNA". It matches the Rfam family "Bacterial small subunit ribosomal RNA", at positions 524 to 776 of the family's 1533-position model. The record is from RNAcentral.